This 384-nucleotide ribosomal RNA is filed under the name uncultured bacterium. Its description in RNAcentral is "bacterial SSU rRNA". It matches the Rfam family "Archaeal small subunit ribosomal RNA", at positions 339 to 723 of the family's 1478-position model. The record is from RNAcentral.
GCGCGAAAACUUUACAAUGCUGGCAACAGCGAUAAGGGAACCUCGCGUGCCAGGUUACAAAUCUGGCUGUCGAGAUGCCUAAAAAGCAUUUCAUAGCAAGGGCCGGGCAAGACCGGUGCCAGCCGCCGCGGUAACACCGGCGGCUCGAGUGGUAACCGUUAUUAUUGGGUCUAAAGGGUCUGUAGCCGGCCGGAUAAGUCUCUUGAGAAAUCUGGCAGCUUAACUGUCAGGCUUUCAGGAGAUACUGUCUGGCUCGAGGCCGGGAGAGGUGAGAGGUACUGCGGGGGUAGGGGUGAAAGCUGGUAAGCCUUGAAGGACCACCAGUGGCGAAGGCGUCUCACCAGAACGGACCUGACGGCAAGGGAGGAAAGCUAGGGGCACGAA